Non-coding RNA from Syngnathus typhle (broad-nosed pipefish), 1795 nucleotides. NCBI's taxonomy places the organism in Eukaryota, Metazoa, Chordata, Actinopteri, Syngnathiformes, Syngnathidae. The record is from the annotation of a RefSeq genome assembly.
UAAAUGCCAGCUGCGUUCGCAGCCUCAUUUGCAUGAGCUUCUGCGCUUCUUCAAAAAGUCUGCAGCACUCCUUUUGCGCAAACACCACUCGCACUACGAGUCAGGAUGUGGUCUUCCGCACUUGCGCUUGUCCUUUGGGCUCUGCUGAUUCCUGGAUCUUCUGCCCAGACUUUUCUGAGGCAGACGGACAGACUCAUGUCUGUCUCUCUCGGAGGAAGCGUGACCAUCAGGGCCACAGGGAGUCAAAACAUUGGUUACACUCUCAGUUGGUACCAAGUGAAACCUGGACAGGCUCCCAAACUGCUCAUCUACGACGCAACAUCAAAAUUCUCAGACGCGCCAUCUAGAUUCAGCGGCACUCGCUCCGGCUCUGACUACACUCUGACCAUCAGAGAUGUCCAGAGAGAUGACCUGGCCGAAUACUACUGUUUCGCCUACUACGGUAGUUGGACACGGUGACUCAGAGACAUACAAAAACCUCCUUGGACUUUUGAGGGAAGUGAAAGUGGUCUGUAGAAGGUGGCAAGUGAAAAGCAGAAGAGAGAAGAAUGCUCAACAUAACCGGUCAGAAUUCAAGUUUAAUUCAAGACUAUUCAUGUCUAUUCCACAAUUUAUUACAAUAUAACAUGUGAAAAAAGAUCCUCAUAAAAAUACACAUCACCACACAUUUUCUAGUGAUGGGGAGGUGGGGGGGGGCUUUAGAUGUCACAACAGUAACAUUGUGCCCGAGGGGGAUUACAGGUUAUUGGAUUGGUGCCGAGUGACGUUGGUGGACAUCGUUAAGAGAGACAAGUUCAGGACGUAGCUUGAUAUGGCAUCCUGCAGGGAUAACUGGGUUUGCGUAGGGGAGUGGCAUGGAAAUUCUGUUAUUGGCCACCACCAGUUGACUGUAAAACUUCAGGCCCCAUGGCCAAGGUGUGCAUACAAUGUCGACUGAACCAAACCACGGAAUCAUAAUGUUUUUACCAUGUUUAAUUCUUUAUUAUUAUUACUUAAUUUGUAUUAUAUAAUAUUCUCUCACUUCUACUGUAGGGAGUGUUUUAGUGUAUUGUUUGCUCUCAUUUGGGGUACUAGAUUUAGAUUUAUUGGGCCAGUAUGAACCAAUUACAUCGAGUCCCCAUCCAUUUUUCAUGUUAACUCCCUCCAGUGCAUGAUCAAGACCAUUAAAUCUCCAGAGGUCAUUUGGAUCCUGUGUUCUGAUGUAAGAGUUCUAUCCGCACGUCAUUAGAGGGACAGGGAAAGGGCUUCUCUUCAGUGACACAAUGAUGCGCAGAGUAAACAAGAAGUUUUGACAAUUUCGAUGUUGACCUAUCAAAGCUACUCAGAAAAACUAUAGGUUAACAAUUGUAAUGUAGCAUACAUUCCACAAGGUGUCAGGAAUAUUAUGAGAAGAACAGGCUGGGCCUUUUUUUGUGGAGUCUGCAUAAUGAUGUGAUUCCGUUGAAGGUGAAUAUUUAUAAGACAGCCCUGUGACAGAUGCCUGCCUUCUAGUUUGUCAGCCUCCACGGGGAGAAAUAUACAUGUACUAACUAUAUAUGACAAGUUUAUUUUCAAAAUGUGCUCUGCAUCAAAACUUGCCAUUUUGUUUGAACCUACACUGAAUGUGAUGUAAAUUAUUACAGCCUUCAUGUGGUUACUCUUAUCACUGUCAUCAUGACUCCCGCCCCCACACAGGACACGUGCACAUUCCUGUCAUACUUAAACCAUUCUUUAAUCUGAAUUGGGCAAAUAUGUCCAAAUUAAUAAAUCAUAUUCUAUUAUUUACACAACAUUAAUAAAUACAUUGUCAAUCUUU